RNAcentral lists this unclassified non-coding RNA (240 nucleotides) under soil metagenome. RNAcentral describes it as "partial contains 5.8S ribosomal RNA, internal transcribed spacer 2, and large subunit ribosomal RNA". The record is from RNAcentral.
AAGACUAUAGACCUGCGGAGUACCUGCGGAGGGAUCAUUAACGAGUUUCGUACUCCAAACCCUUUGUGAACAUACCUGUUUUCGUUGCUUCGGCAGGUGAAGGCGGACGGCCUCCGGGCCUCCCCCGCCGCCGCCGGGACCCCCGGGAGACCGGGGACCGGGCGGGCCUGCCGGAGGGCACAGACUCUUGUAUUAAACGUACCUCUCUGAGUUAUCUUUUACAAACAAGUAAAAACUUUU